Molecule: non-coding RNA, 26 nt
Filed under: Mus musculus (house mouse)
Lineage: Eukaryota; Metazoa; Chordata; Mammalia; Rodentia; Muridae
Source: RNAcentral
UAGCUGUGAACACCAACCCAGGCGUG